AGCAGCCGCCGCGGGAAUACGUAGGGGGCGAGCGUUGUCCGAAGUUACUGGGCGUAAAGCGCGCGUAUGCGGCUUCUUAAGUCUGAGGUGAAAGGUUCAACGCUUAACGUGAACAGUGCCUUGGAUACUGGGGAGCUUGAGUAUGGGAGAGGGCAGUGGAAUGGCUGGUGUAGCGGUGAAAUGCGUAGAUAUCAGUCGGAACACCCAUGGCGAAGGCAGCUGCCUGGCCUAAUACUGACGCUGAGGUGCGAAAGCGUGGGGAGCGAACGGGAUUAGAUACCCGCGUAGUCCCUGUCUCUUAUA
Molecule: ribosomal RNA, 303 nt
Filed under: uncultured bacterium
Lineage: Bacteria
Description: partial 16S ribosomal RNA
Rfam family: Bacterial small subunit ribosomal RNA
Source: RNAcentral